ACGUCACAUGUAAAAGUACACAGGAGUGUGGCUAAUCACUUUUUAUUUGUAGAUUACCUGAGUGUCCUUGCACUUUUCAGGAGUUAAGGCAGAUGUGGAGGCACAACGGGUGAUACCAGACACACCCAAGCACAUUAUGUUCGGACAUUCAAUCAUGACAGGAUCCAGGUGGAUGCUGUCCAUUGAGGAAAGAGUUUGUUCCGAGGUUUCUGGAUAGAAUUAAGUCCAAAGAUGGGAAAAAGUGCACAUCCAGACAAGGAGCAAGCAAAAAGACAAGGAACUUGGUGCAGAGAAAAGCUGUGGCCAUUAACCCCCAUGUGAAAAGCUUCAUGCAGUCCCUGAUAGAGUUUGAAUGGGCGACUUCAAACUAAAGGCCAGUGUCUGUCUGCCACAGUUUAAUGCAUUUAUUUUUAGUGUUCAAUGAAAUUCAAAUAGAAUAUUUAAAACUAUGGGCCAGUGUUCCUUUUAGUUGAUGAUGGACUUUAAACUUCAAACUAUGGAACAGUGUUCUUUUUACCACAGUGAAAUGUUACCUUUUAGUCGAUGAUGGACUUUAAACUGAAAACUUCAAACUAUGGACCAGUGUUCUAUUUGCCAGAGUUAAAUAUGUUACAGCAGGGGUCUCCAAACUUGUUUAUACUUGUUGAUUUUAUUUUAUUUAACUUGUUUAUAUGUUUAUUAUUGUUUAAAAUCUUGUUUUAAAUAUGUUUUGUUUCAAUUAAAUGUUUAUUUAAAUAAAAUUUUGAUACAAACAUUACUUGGAUUGCCUUUUAAUUCAUUAUGUUUUAAUGUAGCAUUUUUACCAUAUUAAUAACUAUAGAUUUAAACCUUAAUAUCUAGCUUUCAUAUAUAAUAUUAUUGUAUUAACUGUAAUAAGUAACAAAUAGUAUUUAUGGGUCAAUAUAGACAUUACAGUAAAUUACUAUAAAAAUAGACUACUGUAAUAAAAUAUUGUAAAAUUACAGUAAAGUACUGUACUGUAAAAUAC
This is a non-coding RNA of Paramisgurnus dabryanus, 988 nucleotides long. The record is from RefSeq and is a predicted model, not a curated record. NCBI's taxonomy places the organism in Eukaryota, Metazoa, Chordata, Actinopteri, Cypriniformes, Cobitidae.